Molecule: ribosomal RNA, 124 nt
Filed under: uncultured bacterium
Lineage: Bacteria
Description: partial 16S ribosomal RNA
Source: RNAcentral
GCCGGGGCUUCUUCUACGGUUACCGUCAUUAUCUUCACCGUUGAAAGAGCUUUACAACCCUAGGGCCUUCAUCACUCACGCGGCAUGGCUGGAUCAGGCUUGCGCCCAUUGUCCAAUAUUCCCC